GGAGAGGUGGCUCAGCAGUUAAGAGCACUGGCUGCUCUUCCAGAGGUCCUGAGUUCGAUUCCCAGCAACCUCA
This 73-nucleotide transfer RNA is filed under the name Neotoma lepida (desert woodrat). It matches the Rfam family "tRNA". Rfam says of the family: Transfer RNA (tRNA) molecules are approximately 80 nucleotides in length. Their secondary structure includes four short double-helical elements and three loops (D, anti-codon, and T loops). Lineage: Eukaryota; Metazoa; Chordata; Mammalia; Rodentia; Cricetidae. The record is from Rfam by way of RNAcentral.